Molecule: long non-coding RNA, 279 nt
Organism: Mastomys coucha (southern multimammate mouse)
Lineage: Eukaryota; Metazoa; Chordata; Mammalia; Rodentia; Muridae
Exons: 2
Source: RefSeq, a predicted model, not a curated record
CCUCCCUUAUCUAACUGAAAGCCAAGGGAUGCGUCCUCCCACCUACCUGAGGCUCUCUGUCCAGCUGUGCCCUUCUCCGGCUUAAGGAGCUUGGAGUUGUCAAUUCCUCAAACUCUAGAAGCAAUGAAGUUUUGUUCAAAUGUGACCCAACUAUCCCACUGCUACACAGAUUAUACAAAGAAAUGAAGUCAGCACAGGAAAGAAACAUCAGUGCUCCUUUGUUGGGUUUUGUGCCAGUCAUGAAAUUCAGGAUUUAAAGUCAAUCUGGGUAUAUAUCAA